UACGAAGGGGGCGAGCGUUGUUCGGAAUCACUGGGCUUAAAGCGUGCGUAGGCGGAUAGGAAAGUCAGAAGUGAAAGCCCUGGGCUCAACCCGGGAACUGCUUUUGAAACUCCAUGUCUAGAAUCCGGUAGAGGUCAGGAGAAUUCCUAGUGUAGAGGUGAAAUUCGCAGAUAUUAGGAGGAAUACCAGUGGCGUAGGCGCCUGACUGGGCCGGUAUUGACGCUGAGGUACGAAGGCGUGGGGAGCAAACAGG
RNAcentral lists this unclassified non-coding RNA (253 nucleotides) under uncultured Alphaproteobacteria bacterium. RNAcentral's name for it is "contains 16S-23S intergenic spacer region". It matches the Rfam family "Bacterial small subunit ribosomal RNA", at positions 524 to 776 of the family's 1533-position model. The record is from RNAcentral. Lineage: Bacteria; Pseudomonadati; Pseudomonadota; Alphaproteobacteria.